RNAcentral lists this ribosomal RNA (447 nucleotides) under Didymium tehuacanense. RNAcentral's name for it is "partial small subunit ribosomal RNA". It matches the Rfam family "Bacterial small subunit ribosomal RNA", at positions 570 to 922 of the family's 1533-position model. Lineage: Eukaryota; Evosea; Eumycetozoa; Physariida; Didymiaceae. The record is from RNAcentral.
CGUAGGCGGAUAGUUUAACAUAAAGUAAAAGACUGAGAUUAACCCUCUUUCUGCUUUAUUAACUAACUAUCUUGGGUUGUAAGGGCGAAUUAAGAAUCCUUCAAGUAAGGGUUAAAUCUGUUGAUAAUAGGAGACUUUCAUAGGCGGAAGCAUUUUAUCGACUUACAUCGACGCUAAGGUACGAAAGCGUGAGUAUAAAGAGGAUUAGAGACCCUCGUAGUCCAUGCUGUAAACAUGAGUGUUCAACAUCCUUUUGUUGUACAGUUGCAUAUAGAUAUUGUUAUUUCUGAUGACGUUAAGGAUUCGGUUAGCAAUAUAUUAUAUUGUUUACUUAUAAGUAAGCCUUGCGCAAUAUACAUAAACAAAAGGUGAUUUGAAGCUAACGCGUUAAACACCGCCUGGGAAGUGUGGCCGCAAGGUUAAACUCAAAGGAAUUGACGGAGACUU